CUGAACAACUGAUUUGCAGAUGCGGUUGAGGUUCAGGGAAUGAAUUUGCUUUCCAGGUCUCCAGUGUCCUAAAGAGCUAUGAAAUGGAGAGUUGCGUGAGACGAUGGCCUGUACCUACACUAAGCACCUUGCAUACGGGCAUUCUAUUCCAUUUUUGAGUAAAGAGCUUUUAGAUCCUGCAAGUUCAAGGGGGGGACUUCCCAAAGAGACAAACACUUAGGUGUACUCUGUGCAACCAGUGUGUUCUAUUGACCUGUAACCAAAGUUGCCAGAAUCGCAGGAAGUACCAAAUAUGGACAAGGUGAGCAGAUGAGAAAGAUAAAGUUGACAGGUAGAUGUUUGCUAUUAUGCAAUCUGCAGAUGGUUAAACUAAACAGGAGCAAUAGGCCUUGUGUUCACUUGCUUUUUGCUACAUUUCCCCUCCUCCCAGAGUUGCAGAUAAAAACUAAAAGCAAUGCUUUCUCAUGCAAGCAAAUUCAUCUCUAUGGUAACAUGUUAUAGAGAGGAAGUAAAGUAAAUGUUAUUAGGAAAAGCUGGGUUUGUUUAUCAAACUUAUACUUGAUCCGCUUCCUAAUUCAUUUAACUUACAAAUUCUUGGAGUGCCUUUAUUUGGUUUGUGUCCCAAGGAAACGAGGGGCCCUUGCUGUAUUCUAUGAAGCCUUGAGCCUUUCCUGAGGUCACAGUCUUUAGAUUAGAGACCACUUCCUAGAGCACUUUGACAUGCCUCCCUGUCCCAGGCUAAGCCCAGUAAAAGCAGUCUCUGGUGGGCUGGUUUCAAGAGGUCCUAUCUUAAAGCCUCAGUCCAUCAAAUAAAAGGCUGACCCCAGACCAUUUCUAAGGCCCUUUGCAGCUCAGACUUUCAAGGAUCCUAGUGAAAUAAUCAAGAAUAUGAGCAACAGAUCCAAAUCCAGCUCUGCUUCCAUUUGUGGGCAAUUGUCGCUAGAAUGAGCCCUUAGUAACUGUAUGAAUCUGACCAGGGUCUCUAAUGCCUCCAAGUAAUUCCUAUUCUUCUCUCAAACCAGUCAGUACUUCCUGUUUGAAAAGCAUCUUCCCUCUCCCUUUCUUUUUUCCCCUUCCUGCUUACAGGAAUCCAGCCUCCAGUUCCUGUCCCCAGCUGUUCCUGACCUUGAAACCUUUCCUUGCUUCACCUCAUUGUUUACUUACCUGCCGAGGUGUCUAGGCCUUUCUUUGCUUGGUUGUUUCCUCAACCUGUGAGUCACAAGUUUGCUUCUGGAGGUGACUGAAAGUCAUUUCCUUUACUCAUUACACGUAGUUCAUGUUGUCAUGUGACUAGAUACACACCUAACCGUAUUUCACAACAUCCUGAUCAAGGAGGACUUUCCUAGGUGAAAGCUAAUGUUUUAUUCAUUCAACAAACAUCAACCACCUACUAUGUGGCUAGGGACAAGGAACUCAAAUCAGUCACAGCUUCAGCAUUUUGAAGACUUGGUUAACUGAAACAGACAUGAACAGCUAACAGUGAUUCCACAACAGGGAUGUGUGCAGAGAACUAGAACAUAGAUUGCAGAAUAAUUCUGCCUGAGAGAAAUGAGAAUAUCUCAGAAGAGUCACAGAAGGCCUUGGUCUGGGGCCUUAAAAACAAUGUUCAAGUUUGCAGGCUGAAGAACUGGGGAAAGGGCAUUAGAGACAGGAGGAACAGCCUAAGCAAAGGUGUGAGAAUAAGAGCAUUUUCCAGCUCAGUUUUCAGUAGAAGUACCAUUGUGUAGCAGCACUAUGUUCAGUCCACACACUUGACUGCAUUAAAAGUUGACAAAGAUGACAAAAGGUAUUUGCUCACUAAAAAAUCAUCAACCACUAUUUUAUUACAAGGCUGUGAGCCUGGCCCUCAUUAACUUUAAG
This 1860-nucleotide long non-coding RNA is filed under the name Marmota monax (woodchuck). The record is from RNAcentral. Lineage: Eukaryota; Metazoa; Chordata; Mammalia; Rodentia; Sciuridae.